Molecule: unclassified non-coding RNA, 347 nt
Filed under: soil metagenome
Description: partial contains 5.8S ribosomal RNA, internal transcribed spacer 2, and large subunit ribosomal RNA
Rfam family: 5.8S ribosomal RNA (bases 1-120)
Source: RNAcentral
GAUGAAGAACGUAGCGAAAUGCGAUAAGUAAUGUGAAUUGCAGAAUUCAGUGAAUCAUCGAAUCUUUGAACGCACAUUGCGCCCGCCAGUAUUCUGGCGGGCAUGCCUGUCUGAGCGUCAUUUCAACCCUCAUGCCCCUAGGGCGUGGUGUUGGGGAUCGGCCAAAGCCCGCGAGGGACGGCCGGCCCCUAAAUCUAGUGGCGGACCCGUCGUGGCCUCCUCUGCGAAGUAGUGAUAUUCCCCUCGGAGAGCGACGAGCCCCUGCCGUUAAACCCCCAACUUUCCAAGGUUGACCUCAGAUCAGGUAGGAAUACCCGCUGAACUUAAGCAUAUCAAUAAGCGGAGGA